This 460-nucleotide ribosomal RNA is filed under the name uncultured bacterium. RNAcentral describes it as "partial 16S ribosomal RNA". It matches the Rfam family "Bacterial small subunit ribosomal RNA", at positions 338 to 795 of the family's 1533-position model. The record is from RNAcentral.
CCUACGGGCGGCAGCAGUGAGGAAUAUUGGUCAAUGGCCGGAAGGCUGAACCAGCCAUGCCGCGUGAAGGUCAGUGCCCUAUGGGCGUUAAACUUCUUUUGUGCGGGAGCAAUAAUGGUCACGUGUGGCCAGACGAGAGUACCGUACGCAUACGCAUCGGCUAACUCCGUGCCAGCAGCCGCGGUAAGACGGGGGAUGCAAGCGUUAUCCGGAUUUAUUGGGUUUAAAGGGUGCGUAGGCUGGGAGGUAAGUCAGCGGUGAAAUGCCCCCGCUCAACGGGGUGAAGUGCCAUUGAUACUGCCUGGCUGGAAUGCGGAUGCCGUGGGAGGAAUGUGUGGUGUAGCGGUGAAAUGCAUAGAUAUCACACAGAACACCGAUUGCGAAGGCAUCUCACGAAUCCGCGAUUGACGCUGAUGCACGAAAGCGUGGGUAUCAAACAGGAUUAGAUACCCGAGUAGUC